UGGGGAAUAUUGCACAAUGGAGGGAACUCUGAUGCAGCGACGCCGCGUGAAUGAAGAAGGCUUUCGAGUCGUAAAGUUCUUUUAUAUGGGAAGAUAAUGACGGUACCAUAAGAAAAAGCCCCGGCUAACUACGUGCCAGCAGCCGCGGUAAUACGUAGGGGGCUAGCGUUGUCCGGAAUCACUGGGCGUAAAGGGUUCGCAGGCGGAAAUGCAAGUCAGGUGUAAAAGGCAGUAGCUUAACUACUGUAAGCAUUUGAAACUGCAUAUCUUGAGAAGAGUAGAGGUAAGUGGAAUUUUUAGUGUAGCGGUGAAAUGCGUAGAUAUUAAAAAGAAUACCGGUGGCGAAGGCAACUUACUGGGCUCAUUCUGACGCUGAGGAACGAAAGCGUGGGUAGCAAACAGG
This 403-nucleotide ribosomal RNA is filed under the name Fusobacteriota bacterium. Its description in RNAcentral is "Fusobacteria bacterium partial 16S ribosomal RNA". It matches the Rfam family "Bacterial small subunit ribosomal RNA", at positions 355 to 776 of the family's 1533-position model. Lineage: Bacteria; Fusobacteriati; Fusobacteriota. The record is from RNAcentral.